CCUACGGGUGGCAGCAGUGGGGGAUAUUGCACAAUGGGGGGAACCCUGAUGCAGCGACGCCGCGUGGGUGAAGAAGCGCCUCGGCGCGUAAAGCCCUGUCAGCAGGGAAGAAAAUGACGGUACCUGAAGAAGAAGCCCCGGCUAACUACGUGCCAGCAGCCGCGGUAAUACGUAGGGGGCAAGCGUUAUCCGGAUUUACUGGGUGUAAAGGGAGCGCAGGCGGCACGGCAAGCCUGAUGUGAAAGCCCGCGGCCCAACCGCGGGACUGCAUUGGGAACUACCGGGCUGGAGUGCCGGAGAGGUAGGCGGAAUUCCUAGUGUAGCGGUGAAAUGCGUAGAUAUUAGGAGGAACACCAGUGGCGAAGGCGGGUUCCUGGACAUUAACUGACGCUGAGGCACGAAGGCCAGGGGAGCGAAAGGGAUUAGAUACCCUGGUAGUC
RNAcentral lists this ribosomal RNA (440 nucleotides) under uncultured bacterium. RNAcentral's name for it is "partial 16S ribosomal RNA". It matches the Rfam family "Bacterial small subunit ribosomal RNA", at positions 338 to 795 of the family's 1533-position model. The record is from RNAcentral.